This 477-nucleotide ribosomal RNA is filed under the name uncultured bacterium. RNAcentral describes it as "partial 16S ribosomal RNA". It matches the Rfam family "Bacterial small subunit ribosomal RNA", at positions 29 to 507 of the family's 1533-position model. The record is from RNAcentral.
ACGAACGCUGGCGGCGUGCUUAACACAUGCAAGUCGAACGUGAUUUUUGUGGAAAUUCUUUCGGGAAUGGAAAUGAAAUGAAAGUGGCGAACGGGUGAGUAACACGUGAGCAACCUACCUUACACAGGGGGAUAGCCGUUGGAAACGACGAUUAAUACCGCAUGAGACCACAGAAUCGCAUGAUAUAGGGGUCAAAGAUUUAUCGGUGUAAGAAGGGCUCGCGUCUGAUUAGCUAGUUGGAAGGGUAAAGGCCUACCAAGGCGACGAUCAGUAGCCGGUCUGAGAGGAUGAACGGCCACAUUGGAACUGAGACACGGUCCAAACUCCUACGGGAGGCAGCAGUGGGGAAUAUUGCACAAUGGGGGGAACCCUGAUGCAGCGACGCCGCGUGAGCGAAGAAGGUUUUCGAAUCGUAAAGCUCUGUCCUAUGAGAAGAUAAUGACGGUAGCAUAGGAGGAAGCCCCGGCUAAAUACGUG